UAGUGGGAAUUGUAGGGCUCAUUUGCAGUCCGCAUGCAUACUCAGAGUCGGGCCCUGACGGUUUCGGCGCUAGUCAUGCCAUCACUGUCCCUGUAACUAUGGGUACCCGUCCAUAACUCCUGCUCUGGCACAACCUCCCGAUUCUCAGGACGCACGCGCCAAUUCGGAACAUCGGCCAUCGAUAGCUCUUGCCUGCUCCCAUUGAGCAUGCACGUUUCCUUGACAUCGAUACACUAGGCAUACACUUAUCCGCGUAUAAGUCUUGCGCACGCGUACUUGCCUUGCCCAAAGACGGGAACCGCGAGGGCUCACCUUUUCCCAAGUGCGCCUGCGUACUCAUUGCUGUUCAUCGAUAUUUUCGUCGUGCGACUGUGAGGCCGCCCCGUUCUGCGCAUGCGGGCUGGGCCUACCCCCAGUGAUUCGUCAACGCCACUGCCGGUUUAGCAUAUGGUGGUGCCGUGCCCCGGAUGGCUGUCUCUGCGGGCUCCUCCUCGUGCACCCGUCCUUGGAGCCAGCGUGUCAGCGAGGAGCCGCAGUGUGACAGAAGCGGGAAUUGGGGCAGAAGCACCCCCCCAGGAGCAGUCGGGUUUGCAAGGGGCACUGGGCACUCAGGCAGGUGUGCAGGGCUUGUGCCGGUCCCUUGGAAACGGGUAAGGCACCACGAGCAACAGGUAUGCUCAGCAGACAGAACGCACCAGCAGUUGCCUAGGCUUCUGCCUGGAUGCACAUCAUUCCCAUGCCCUGCUCCAACCGUAACGCCUGCAGUGACAGGAAAGAGCUGCAGGGGUAGGCUGUGCUGCCCUGCUGUCUGCCUUUAUGUGCAUGUGCAGUUGCCGCCAGCAUGAAGCUGAUGCUGAAGCUGUGGAGCCCGGCGCAGCUGUUUGCAGCCUGCCUGCUGCAGCUGCCCAGAGCUCAGGCUGGCUACAAACAGCUGUGCUGAGCUCUGGAGUGCAGUCACCAGCUGUGUGCCAGGAACGGGGGAAACAACGGGGUUGCACUGCCUCAGGCCCCUCCCCCACUGCCCGUCCUGAUGCACGAGUGAAAGCGCCGGUAUAAAGCUCAUGCCUGGCCUCCGGAGCCUGGCACAGCUGUUUGGAGCCUUUCCGGUGCAGCUGGCCUUGGCUCUGGGUAACUGCUGCUAGCCACAGAGCCUCAGCUGCUUCCAGCGGGCAGCUGGGACGCUGCAAGCCCUGCUGGGAGCAGCCCAGGCUCCAGCAGCUACCCAGAGCCAGGGCUGGCUGUGGUGUGCUGAGCAAAAUGGCUUCGCGUGCCAUGCUCGGCACGCGUGCUGGGGGUUUCCACCCCCUGCUGGUAGCACCCUGCAAAAGCAACUACCUGCCCCAUGGCUUGCUGGAUACUGGGGCCCCAGACCCCACAGACUUUGUAUUCUCUUUCCCUGCACGUGGGUGAUGUGUGGAGCUCUUUGAUCUCUGCAAGCUUCAAGCCUUGUUAGCCACCCAUCCUUAUGCACUCAACAACCAGCCCCUAUGACUGUCCUACCUGACAGCCUCUGUUAACCUCUCCUAGUUUCAUCCUUCCUCUGAAAGCUUCCCAAGAAAUUCCUUGUCACGCUCCAGUCUGCAGCAGGGCUGCACCACUGUUUCCCAGCUUCCUUUCGUGAGUUGUAGGGGAUGGGGGGAGAAUGCUUCCUUGACCCCCUACUGUUUGCUUCUGUCAGCUUUAAGCUAUUUAUCUGUUUCAGUUCCCCUUUCCCUUCUCCGCUGCCUGUGCUGGCAUUGUCUCCUGUCUGCACAGGGCUUUGGUUUAACUGAGGGCUGGACAGGUAUUUGGGCCUGCGGGACACGUAAGCAGUUCUGGGGAGCUGCAGCGGGCUGGUCAGCACCCCCACACAAUGAAUAGUUAGGAAUCCGUGCCCACUAUUUAUUUUCCCUGCCACCACCAAUACUCCACAUUCCCAGCCCUGACCCUGGCCUGCCCCAUGCCCACUCCAGACUCACCCUGGCCAGGGUGGACCAGCCCGAACCUGCGUGUACACCCCUGACCAGAGCCCUCCUUGCACCUGUCCAUGCUGAGGAGUGGUAGCAGCAGGACGGAAGCUGCUGCUCCAACGUGGGAGAAACGUGGCCGCUCCUCACCCUGGCCAAGCCCUUGUUGCAACUGCCUGGAGUCCCCACCUGCCGCCUCUGGGCUGCCCAGUAGUGCAGCAGUGGUAGUGCAGUGGAACCACAGGGCAGUCUGGGCGUGGGCUUUGAGCAGUGGAGGCAAGAAGGAUCUAGCAGCUGAGAAGUUUGUGUGGCCACUGUCCCUCAUGCUGAGCAGCAGCUUGUGCUUUGCCGUCGCCACUAGUGCUGCUGCUCAGUGUGGGUGGACAAGUCUGGAGCAGGGGCAGGGCUGUAUGUGCUGUUUGUGGCGGGAUGCGCCAUGGGCUGGAUGGCGUCUGGCUUAGGUAGGGCCGAGGGACCCGCCACAGGCCAAACAGAAUCCCUCCAUGGGCCAGAUCUGGCCUCCGAGCUCUAUUUUGCCUACCUCUGGUAUAAUGGGAUGCAUGUGUUACACCCAAAAUGUCUCUGGAGAAGUACAAGAGAACCAAAGCAAGUACCUCCAUAAAAUGUACACCAGAUUAUUGGGACAUUACUAAUCAGGCACUUUUGCCAAGAGCAGCUACUUACAGCAGAGAAUACAGAGACGUACUCAGAACUGGGGCGGCCAGGUGCCAGGGCCUCUCGUAAUACAUCCUUCAGGUUUGAGGCCAGUUCCACAAUCCCACAUCUUUGCUUUUUUGUGGGGGUUUUAUAAAGUUCAGGUUGAAAUUCUGUAUUCCAGCCCAUUUCUCUGAGGUAGGGAUCUCUUGGCCCUUUGAGUAGAGAGCAGGGAAACUGAGUCAUGGCCUGGGACCAUUGUUCUUUCCUGAAGUUGCCUCAUGAGCAGUGGGUGUCAUUAUUGGACUAUACAUCCCUACUCCCUUGAAACUUUUCUGCCAAGCUCUUCUUGGUGUUUUUAGACUGAACUGCUUCUGGGAUCAGAGUAUCUGGAGGGAGGAGUAACCUUGUGGAAUGUAGCCUAGCAAAAAAGAGGUCCUUGCCAUGGGCUACGACAGACCCUUGGCACUUUAGUAGUCACAGAAUAUGGUUCUGCAUUGAGGGGCCUUGUUUGACACCGAAGGAUGGAUAAUCAUUCUGUCACAACCCAAAGUUGCGGUUUUUGUUUGUGUGCGCUUCGGCACUGCUAAAUUAUUUUCCCGCCGAUUGUAGCUUUCUUUGCAGGAUAGAGUUCUCUGCUGCGGGAGAGAACUCUGGUGCAACGGGGGAUUUCCCGCCAAAUUACAGCUUCUUUGCAGGGUGCAUUUCUUUUGCAUACUAGUGAUGCACGUUACAAAGGAGUUCCCGCCAUUUGUAUUUGAAUUCGCGCCACGUUAUUGGCCAGUUCCAAACGUAGGCACACGUGGCGGCUAGCUAUUGGCUUGCUAGCCGUACAAAAGGCUUGGGUAGCUUCCACCCAAGUCGGAGGGAGGGAGGAAGAGAGAGAGAGUCUGCGUGAAGAUCUCCAAGUGCUGUGGACCCUCGUGGACCCAACGCGCCUCCCCUAAGCAGGCAAUAGAGGCUUAAUAACCGAACAUACGGAGCUUUCGCUUCUGGCCUCUCCCCGUCGCCGAUCGCAAUCCCAGACGUAUCCCUUUCCUGUAAACUUUGAACCCACGGAGCCUUAACAACUCCGAUGAACCAAGAAACCGAACCGGACCCGCGGAGCCUAAACAACUCUGUGGGAGCAAUCGAAUUUGUCGUGGUCCUCUAGUGAGGAUCUAAGCGGGAGCUGUGCCUGGAAACCUGUCCAGCCUACACCACUACCAUCUUUGGGUGUAAGUAAACAAUCUUUUCAAUCAACCACUACGUGUUUGUGUCUAAUUCUAGCUCGCCGCUGGUUCUCUCAGACCCCGCGUGCCCGGGCUGCUGGCCACAGCCCGCGUGCGCAAAAGAUGGGCCGCAGAUCGCCCCUCCUGACUCGCGCGUGGCGGCGGGAUCGGGGCCCGGCCCGCACACGUUCAAGAUGAUAAUUCCCAGAUAUUGCUUCUGAGAGUAUGAAUGGGGGAGGAAUGUAUUCCUUUUUUCUGCUUUUAGCUAUUAGCAGUACAUUUUUAACUGAGGAUGUCCUUAGCUGAUCUGAGCAUAUCCAGUGCCACAUUUGUGCACAUUGCUGCUCGGCACUGGCAUCACUUGGAGUUUAGAAGAUAACCCUCCUUUAUACAGUUUCAGCUGUGUGUGAUGGGACUCCUUAAAUAGAGGGGUUUUUAAUCAGUGAGGCACGUUAGAAAGAACCUGGUAAUGUUCAGUGUUUUCAGAGACAAGACUAUGACCCCUUUAUGGUCGGGACAGUUUUGCAAGCUUGGAGCCAGAAUUCUUGGAAAGUAGCAAUUAUUUUACCUAUUACUGGGGUUCCUGGUUUUCUCUGUUAAAAACAUUGCAAAUUCUCUGAUUAAAACUCACAAAUUAUAACCUGCCUUUUCCUGUUAUUACAAUGAAACGCUUGCUUGUGCCCCUCAGUCCCCCCCACCCCCAUGCUUGCCAGCCCUGCUGGUGCCCUUAGUCCUGGCAGCCAUGCCAGAGGGAGGCCCCAGCUGCCAGGACUAUGCCUCUUGUCCCUGGGAGGAGGCUGCGGCUGCUGCAGUGGAGCAGAGCAUGGAGCCUGGUUCCCGUCUGCUCCCUGUCUGCUGUGGGACUGGGCAGGUGGUGAGGCCAGCUCCCCGCUCCUGUGUGCACUCCUGGGGUGCAGCGGGGACUCCUGCCCAUUAGAUCUGUGCUCAGGGUGGGCGUGUGCUCCCGCCCUGGUAUCCUGCCCCCGGGGCCUCUGCAGCCUGGUGGGUGCAACCUGGCAUGGCAGGGAACAGCAGAGCCACACGGAAGCUGCUUGCCACUAUGACCUCCGCCCUGUUCUGGCAACAUGUCCAGUGCAUGCGUGGGGGUAGCGGUGCAGGGUUGCGCUCCUCACUGGUUCCACUCCUGCCCCACAGACAGGUCUGGGGGCACAGGUCCCCACUGCCCUCCAGGAAUGUGCGCAGCUGUGGGGAGCCAGCCGGCCCCACCCAUCCUUCCUGCUCCCCACCAGGGCCUUGCAGCCACAGACUGCAGCCCCCGGCCCCAUGCACCGCCAAGCUGGGCUGCAGCCCCAGCCCUGCCCAACUCCCUGCCUCCUGAUGGGGGCCUCACUUCCUCCCCAGCUCCCCGCCACUUACCUGCAGGAGCGGCGGCAGCGGCCGGGGGAAAUCGUGGACCCCUUUUUGCAGGGGGUAUGCUGCCACACUCGAGGGAUACACGAGGACCUGCGUGCACCCCGCGCACGUCGCCUCUGCGCUGCGUUUAGCUCCUGCCUCGCAAUCGGUGUCAAGGAGGGGAGACCAACCUGCUGCUCGGUGCUGCCCUGCGGUGGUCCCGGCGGGGCCUUGACCCAGCGCGUGAAGGCGCAGAAAAAGCCCUGCUCAGAGCCGCCCUCCUGUGGCCGCGCCGGGCAUUGCGGCGGGGAGACCCGGGCAGGCACCCAAGCCGGCUCCGCGCUGCCCGCCUGGGGCUGGCGCGGGGCUUGGAGCCCGAAGACAAGGGCCAGGAACAAAGCCGGCUCCGUGCCACCCUCCCUGCCCUUCAACUUGCGCUGAGCAGCCAGGCUUUAAAGCCAGAGAAAAGAAAAACCUGCAGCAUACUGAAGGCACUGGCUGACAUCGUUGCACAGCCACUGGCAGGAAUAGUUGAACGCUCGUGGCGCACGGUCCAAGUCCCGGAGGACUGGAAAAGGGCCAAUGUGGUCCCCAUUUUCAAGAAGGGGAGGAAGGAGGACCCGGGCAACUAUAGGCCAGUCAGUCUCACCUCCAUCCUGGGCAAAGUCUUUGAAAAAAUUAUCAAGGCUCACAUUUGCGAGAGCCUGGCAGGACAAGUUAUGCUGAGGGGAAACCAGCAUGGGUUUGUAGCAGGCAGAUCAUGCCUGACUAAUCUAGUCUCUUUUUAUGACCAGGUUACGAAACGCCUGGACACAGGAGGAGGGGUGGAUGUCGUAUACUUAGACUUCAGGAAGGCCUUCGAUACGGUAUCCCACCCCAUACUGGUGAACAAGUUAAGAGGCUGUGACUUGGAUGACUGCACAGUCCGGUGGGUGGCGAAUUGGCUGGAGGGUCGCACCCAGAGAGUCGUGGUGGAUGGGUCGGUUUCGACCUGGAAGGGUGUGGGCAGUGGGGUCCCGCAGGGCUCGGUCCUGGGACCGAUACUCUUCAAUGUCUUCAUCGACGACUUGGACGAGGCAGUGAAGUGUACUCUGUCCAAGUUUGCAGAUGACACAAAGCUAUGGAGAGAAGUGGACACGCCGGAGGGCAGGGAACAGCUGCAGGCAGACCUGGACAGGUUGGACAAGUGGGCAGAAAACAACAGGAUGCAGUUCAACAAGGAGAAAUGCAAAGUGCUGCACCUAGGGAGGAAGAAUGUCCAGCACACCUACAGCCUAGGGAAUGACCUGCUGGGUGGCACGGAAGUGGAAAGGGAUCUUGGAGUCCUAGCGGACUCCAAGAUGAACAUGAGUCGGUAGCGUGACGAAGCCAUCAGAAAAGCUAAUGGCACUUUAUCGUGCAUCAGCAGAUGCAUGACGAAUAGGUCCAAAGAGGUAUCAGAAAGUUCCAGUUGGAAUGAAUGACCUUCCUCGGGGACAAGAGGUUAUCCAUUUCUAUGAAGUUUGGAACGUAUCUAGAAACUGAUUAACCACCAGGAAAAAACGCAAGUGUCGUCGGAAAACAAGGUAAAUCACGGAAAAACAGCAGAGUCAAAACUAAAUUGGGAGUAGACACGUGUCCCAAACGGAGAAUGUCUCGCACAGAAACAGAAGUUAAUUGUAGAAGAACUAUUUGCCAUACUAAGUAAUCAAAGAUAGACAUUUCACAGGGUUACAUACCAGACAGCUAGGAGCCUGCUCGAAAUGGUCAUGAAUCUAGUAAGAUAAGGUGGAAGGGAGACCUUGUUAUUUCUCCCCAGAUGGCCUAGCCAUGGACUCACAGCUUUUUGCACGGCGCAGUCGGCAUCAGUAUUUUGCCUUCCGGGUUUUGUGAGGAGGCCCCAGCUUGGCGUGAGUUUCAGAGUCAUCGGGGGCUGUGUGGAAAGGUGCCUGCGUGCGGUGACGUGGAGCCGCGUGGGCUCGGAGGUUUGUGUGUGGAAAACCGGCCAUUUUGUGUGGCGAGCUGGGAACCUUUUUCUCUGUUGUGUGGUGAUCUUGUUGGUAGGCUUUUGUUCAUUUUGUGUGGUGAUUUGGAGGUGUUUGUGUGGAAAUAUUGGGGUAAUAUGGUGGUAGUGGGAGAAUUCUGUGGGGAUUUGGGACCUUUAGUUGGAAAUGUGUGGAAACGUGAUUUUGGGGGGGCAGAAAACUGUUAAUUGCGUGUGGUGGUACAGGACCUUUCCUUGAAAAUACAGGGUUUUCUGUGCAAAGCUUGUUACUUAGGAACCAUUUGUGGAAAUAUGGUGGUUUUGUGUAUGGAAAAUGGGGUAGUAAUUUUUGGCUGAUUUAGGAACUUCUUUGUGUGACUGGUGUGGUGUGGGACCUGUGGAAAACUGUGUGGGGAUCGGUUAAGUGUACGGAAAUAUGGUUAUGUUGCGUGAAGGGAAUUGUCUGGGGAUUUGGAAACCCUUUUUGUGGGCACGUGUGUGGGCUCGUGGUGGUUUGUGUGUGGAAAACCGGCCGUUUUGUGUGGUGAGUUUGGAACAUGUUUCUGGUAGUGCCGUGAUGUUUUUGGUGGGAAGUCGGUCAUUUUGUGUGGUGAUUUGGAGGUGUUUUUGUGGAAAUGUUUGGGGACGUGUUGGGACGUUGGGAGAGUCCUGUGGGGAUUUGGGACCUUUAUCUGGAAAUGUGAUUAUUUUUUGUGGAGCGUGUGUGGACCAUUUUUCUUGGAAAUACUGUGAUUUUGGUGGGGGAAAAAACUGAGGAUUUGGGAACUGUUUGUGGAAAAAUGGUGAUUUUGUGUGUAGAAAAUGGUGUAGUAUUAGGGUGAUUAAUGAACUUUUUUGUGCAACUGGUGUGGUCUGGAACGUGUGCAAUAUUUUGAGGUGAUUGGGUAAGUGUGUGGAAAUAUGGCUCUGUUGCGUAACGGAAAUUGCGUGGGGAUCUGGAACUCUUUUUGGAGGGCGUGUGGCAGUUUUUCUGUAGAAAACGCCAUUUUGUGUGGUGAUUUCAGAAGCUUUAUUUUUUUUUUGGCAAAUGUGACUAUUUGGGUGGGAAGUUGGUUGUUUUGUAGUAAUUUGGAGAUGUGUUUGUGGCAAGGUUUGGGAUAAUAUGGUACUGGGAGAACUUUGUGGGGCUUUGGGAGCUUGUUUGUGGAAAUGUUUGGGUGGGUUUUUUGGGGUUGUUUUUUUUUUUUUUUUUGUGAAAGACCUGAUUGUGUGUGGUGUUGAAGGGAUUUUUGCGGAAGUAUGGUGAUUUUGUGUGGAAAACUGAUGAUUUGGGAGCUGUUUGUGGAAAUGUGAGUUAGUAGAAAAUGGUGUGGUGAUUUUAGGCUGAUUUAAAAACUUAUUUGUGCAAAAUGUGUAGAAAUGUGAUUUUUGUUGUGGAAUUUAGGACCUUUCUUCGGAAAUAUAGGGGUUUUGACUGGAAAACUGGUGAUUUAGGAAAUGCUUGUGGAAAUGUCUCUGCAAAUAUGGUGAAUUUGUUCAUAGAAAAAUGGCUUGGUAAUUUUAGGGUGAUUUGGGAACUGUUCUGUGCGAUUGCUGUUUUGUGGGACCUGUGCAAAAAUCUGUGGCGAAUGGGUAAGCAUAUGGAAAUAUGCUUAUGUCACGAGGGAAAGUGCAUGGUGAUUUAGAGGGGUGUAGGUUGUAGCCAUGUUGGUCUAAGGACAUAGGCAGACAAGGUUCCUUGGAUGAAGUUGAUACCUUUUAUUAGACCAACCCAAAUGGUGAUUUGGAAACUGUUUUUUUGUAGGAAUAGGUGAAAAAAGAAAAAAAGAAAUUAUGUGAUUUGUGUGGUGAAUUGGGAACCCUUAGUGGAAAUGGGCUAGGUUGGCCCAUGGUGGUCAUGUGAUCCACUAUGGUGCGGUGAACGGUGUGUGUGAUUGCACCCAUGUGAAACUGUCUAACGUGGGUCUGCCCUUGCUCGCAGGCUACUUCUCGUGCACCUGUCCUUGGAGCCAGCAACUUCCAACAGCCAGCGAGGAGCUGCAGCGUGACAGAAGCGGGACUUGGGGCAGAAGGGCCCCCAGCAGCUGUCAUGUUUGCAAGGGUCGGUCCGGGCACUCAGACAAGUGUGCGGUCCUGCGGGGGUGCCUUGGAAACAGGCAAGGUACCACGGGUGACAGGCUAGUCCUAGCGCUCCUGUCCUUGGAACCAGCUUAUCGGUGAGGAGGUGCAACGUGACAUUUGGCACCAAAAGGCCUGGAGUAGAAAGAAGGGCCCCCGACAUCCGUCGCAUCUGCAACGGGUCCCUGCGUGAGCUACUGAGAAACAAGCGUUUGGGGCCCGCACCGGUCUCCCGGAAACAUCCGAGCCAGCCCUGGCAGCAGGUGCCUGCGCAUUCCUGCCUUGGACACGGUCAGGGAACGCAGCACGCCAGCAGUUGCCUCGGCUUCUGACCGGAUGCACGUCGUUUGCUUGCAAGCAUCCAAAGCUAGCACCUCCAGCGGCUGCAGCUGUUGCUUCCCAACUACUAGGAGAGCCUUGCAAAAGCAAUGGCCUGCCCCUGGGCCAGGCUGAUACCAGUGGCUCAGACCCAGAGACUUGCUGUUGUACCUCCCGGUGUCUGGAUUAGGUGUCGAGCACUUGGAACUCUGUCAGCUUCAGCACAUAUUAACCUCUCGUCCUCCUGUGGCCAACACCACAGAGCCCAUUACCCUAAUGUUUCUGUCAGCCUCUGUCUCACCCUUCCCCUGAAGGCCUCCCAUGAAAUCCCUUGUCCCAUCCCAGUCUGCAGGUUGGCUCCACCAGUAUUUCCCAGCUGCACGUGGAGAGUUGCAAGGGAGCAGUGUCAGCGAGGAGCUGCAGCGUGAAAGAAGUGGGACUUGGAAAUAUCCAAGGCACCACAGGUAACAGGAUAGUUGGAGGGGCGGGGAAUGGAAGGAAGAGGCAUGGAUGAGACCUGCAUCUUUUGUUCAGCAAAUUUCUGUAAGUAAUGUUAGUACUACUAAUAUUAUCCCUGUUCUGAUUCUUACUAUUACUAUUAUUUGUUUUCCCAUUGUAGUGCGCAAGUUUGUCAUUACGCUGAAAUAGAAUAGUUUUCUGAAAGCAUACUGUUAGGUUUACAAUAAUUUGGAUUUUUAAGAAGUAUUAGCUUUACAGCUGGAUACAAGGCAUGACCUGUGGCCUAGUAAUGCAGCUGACCACAAGGCAGAAUGAUAGCUAGGCCUUUGCUUGUGUCAAGUAAUCAUUUUAACUGCAACAAGCAUUUUCUGAGUUAAAAAGUGAAUCUGUGUCUGUGUGCUAAAAAAAAUCAGCUACAGCUAGAAGUAAGAUAAGACAGAGAAACCAUUGUUUGAGCUUACUGGUUGUGUCCUUGAGAAGUAUCUUCUACUGUGUAAGGUUUUGCUAACAUAAUGUUACUGUUACUUAACUUUUAGCUUUUAAAAAGUGCUAGUUCCGCUUAAUAGAAAUAUGCUGUUACAAAGCUUUGUAGAGCACCGCCCCAAGUAUUGCUUUUUGUUAACCAUAUAGUCUCGCUUUGUUGUAAGAAGUAUAAAAGAUCGCCUCACCCUUGAGGGGGGGCCAUUUUGCCUUUUGCUGGCUUUAUGGUCUUUGCUCGAGCAAAUAAACAGCUGUCUUUCUUUACCCACGUUGUCUGUCAAUCAAAUUACAGCUAGACAACGGACCUUAGGGAGGUUUCUCCCACCACACCAUGUACUUUGCCAACAAAGCACCUGGCAGGUCCAGUAAGAAAAGGAAGUUUCCAAACAGGUGACAGAAGGAAACCAAAUGAUUUAAGUAUGCAAGUGGUGGUGGUGGUGUUGUUGGGAAGGUUCAGGAACCAUGGGGGAGGCAAGAGUUUUUGUUAUGUCUUGUGUGGCAACAACAGCACGGUUUGGACGGACAGAAGCAAGGUUUUAGGCAUCCCAGUCCCCUUUUUCAGUCCUGGUUCCUUCCCAGCAUCCUGAGGAAAGGUACUGUCAUACCCCAAAGGUUGCCUGUAUCUAUGCCCAUCUUACAGUUGGUCUGGUAAAACAGGGGUCAAAAAACCUAUGGCCUGUGGUUUGGAUCCAGCCUGUGAAGAAACUGGUUCUAGCCUGUAGCAGUUCAACCAAGGAGCAGCACACUCCCAUGGUGACAGGAGCAGGGACAUCCCCAGCGGCCUGUUGCCACUGCGUUCAGUUUGUUCUUUGUGCUGCAGCAGAAGCAGCCUCCCCAGGGUCCCGGCCCCUGCCUUUUUCUUUUGAGUCCCUUCACAGCCUGUGGAGAUUGCUGGGGAGCAACCUGUCCCGUCGGCAACGGUGCAUAACGGCAAAAGAACGGCCCUUCCCUGCAAGGAAAGAUUGCACCUAACUCCAAGCGAGCAGAGCAGAACAUGGACACAGAGCGAGAUGCUCAUCUGUAUGGUAGUCUGGCCUUGCUGUUGCUAGGAGUGCCCAAGUAGGGAGGUGUUGGAAUAAUUUCUCAGCUUUUUCCCUAGAUCGCUGUAAGAUGAGAGGGGAGCGCUAAGCACACUUGGGUUCGUGCAUGCUCAUCAUUUUCAGAAGCGGACGGCAGGAGAAAGUUUGCGGUCAGCGAUAGCAGCACAAGGCCAUGCAACCAGGCUGGGGAACGCGGGGCUCUUUCCGAAACCAGGAGUGGCAGGACUUGCACAGCUUUGCCAGGAUCCUGGCUGUUGUGGAGAGACUUUGGGUUGGAGAUGGAUGCAAAGAAGUGGAGGCGUGCCAUGGUGAUGGAGGAUAGAGCAGGAGGAGUAGCGUGAUGGAAGGUGGACUUACCUCAAGCGGGGGUGGUGUUUUGAGUGGGGGUGUCUGGGUGGGUUGGGAAGUCCCUGCUCUGGGUUGGUGUCCUGAGCUGCACGCUCCCAGGGCAGGGCUACUCAAGCGGAGGGCCAUGGCACCCAGGAGUGCCUCUGAGAUGAGUGGUGUACGGCUGGGCUGGCUUGGCCCAGAGUUGCUCUGAGUCUGUGCAAAGAUCUCCAGGUUACGGUGGGACAGAGGAUUGGGUCUCUGCCUGGCUGUACCUGUUGCCACAUGCCUCCUUUCAGUGCUGGGAAUUGCAUUUAUGUCUCAUCUCUCUGGGUGUCACUGGUGUCUGUCUUUGUACUUCUGUUCUUAAAAAUCACUGCAGCACUUGUUACUUUGUUCUUCCCAGGACUGAAAGGAGGGUUGUGUUUGCAUGUAAAUUGAUCCCCUCACUUGGGAGGGGUGUAGCUGCAGCCCCCUGCGGUUUGUUAGUGGGGCCAGUGCAAGCUGCUGUUGUACCCCUGGUUGGGAGGGAGGGGGUGCUGUCCCGUUGGUGCUGUGAGACCUGCGCAUAGCACUGCAAGUGUUAAUUGCUGUUCAUUUUUGGUGGUGUGAACAUGUUUGGCAAGAUGAUCAAAGUCUGGUCCUGAGUGGAGAAGAGCUGAGGAAGAGGUGAAGAGCCCUGGAGCUGGUAUGGUGUGGAAGGAGUUGGAGAUGGCCCGAAGCCAUGCUCAUGUGAUCACCUGGAGCGAGGUAUUUGCUUCUUGCGGGUUGCAGCUCUGGACGGACAGAUCCUGCAGCUGCAGGUGCCUGCAUCGUAUCUGGGAAAGGGAUGGCAAGCAUGAGGACUGACGGCGCACAAGGACUGAAAGUGCAGCUUGAUGCCAGGUGUGGGUCCUGGUGUUCCUGGAAGGAAAGGGUGAGGGCACAGGGACCGGAGCAGAGCAGCGGUAACGGAACCAGAGGAUCAGGAUGCUAGAAGAGGAGCCACCUUGCCAAGGCUUCAGGCACUGAAGACGAGGUGAAGAGCCACAGAGAUGGUGGAGGAGGAAAUGGGCAGCUGUCUCGUGACUUCCCAGUUUGUGUGGUGUGAGGCCUCUGCCCCUGUGACGUCACCUGUGUGGAGCCUGCAGUGGGUUUGAGCUUCCUUGGAGCGGUCAUGCUGUGUGUACAGUGGUUACUGUGAUACAUCACGUUUUGAGUGCCUGUGACUAUCCAGCUCCGGGAGGCCGCAGACAAGCCUUUGAGAGCUCGGGUAAAGCCUGUAUGCAUCUUGUGGGGGAAGAGGGACGCAGGGAGUUCUGUGCCAUGCUGGUGGAAGAGGAAGGAAAACAAUGCUUAAAGGAGCCAUCUUCUGAAGGCUUGAGGGCUGUGAAGCAGACACUGUGAAGAUGAAGUGAAGAGUCCCAGAGAUGGUGCACAAGGAAAUGGGCAGCCUUGUCGUGACUUCCUGACUUGUGUGAUGUGAGGCCUCUUCUCCUGUGGCAUGACCUGGCUGGACUCCUGGGGAGGUUUUGUGUGUGUAGCUUCGCAGGCGGUGCAUCUCUGCUCCCACAUCCUGCUGUGAGGACACCUGGAUAAGGAGCAGCAUGAUUGUGGCUGGCUGUGCGGCCUCAAUGUUGUGGGGGAGAGGAAUAGAAGUGAGUUUUCUACGGUGGUGGUAGAAGAUGGAGGAACUGGAUCCCGAAAGGUGGGCUGGGUUAAAGUGGGAGGCUGGGUUGCGUUUUCUCUGGUCAUAUUUGGGUGGGGGAGGAAACCCCUAGUGUGUGAUGGGGUCUGGAGCUCCGUGCUGUCUGGGGAGUGAUUCUGAAGCAGGGAAUUGUGGCCCUUAGGGAUGCUGCAGAGCAGGGGGUCUAAGCCUGAUUUUGGUUUAGCUUGGGGUUGAGUCCUGACUGCUUGUAAAAGCUGAAAAUUGUCCUUGAGUAUAUUAGGGGUUUCAGUGUUUGCCCCUGGCUUCUGGGUGCAGAUGACGGCAUUGGAUGUGCUGGGACAGAGGAGCAGGUGCGUGCGUGUCUGCCUCUGCCUGGCUGUUGCUGCUGCCACUGGUCUCCCUUCAGUUCUGGGAAGUGCACUCUGUCCUAUGUCUCUGGGUGUGUCACUGGUGUUUCUUUCUACUUGGAUACCUAAAAUCACAGCAGCACUUCUUUCUUUGCUCUUCCCAGAGCUGGAAGGAUAGGUGUGUUUGCAUGUAAAUUGAUCCCCUCCUUUGGGUGGGCUUUGACUGCACCCUGUGUGCCUCAUGUGUGGGUGGGGGUGUUAUGCUUUUGGUGUCCUAGAUUGCGGGGGGCAUUGUGUCUGUGCUGUCAGUACUAUGAGAUGUGAAUACUGUUGUGUGUAGUAAUUGCUUGUUGUUUUGGGUGUGAUGUCAAUGUGUGGGGUGUGAGCAGAGAAGAGCUGAGUGGAAGAGGUGAAGAGACCUAGAGCCAGCGUUACGUAGAAGCAGGUGGUUGUGCAGCCAUGCUCACUUCUGGGUCACCUGAAGGGAGGUCUGUGCCCGUUCAGUGGAGUUGUGUGCAUGGGCAGAGCCCGCAGUGGGUAAGAUGUUACUUGGAGUGGUGUGGUGUGGUCUUCCCACAGGGCAGUUGCGUGUGUUUUGCCCUUUUGUUUUGCAGGGAUGUUUCUUGUGCGCCCUCAGGAGGUCCCUGCAUCCCCUGUGUGGAGAGGACGGCAAGGAGGGAUGAGAGUGCACUGGAGGAGGAGUGCGAUGCCAGGUCCCAUGAGUGCGGUCUCUUGGGGGUCCUGACCUGUGCAGAGGGAAGUGACUGCCGGUUGAAGGAGUGAAGCUGAGCAAUGCCCAUGGAGGAUGAAGCAGGAGGAACUCGAUGCUGCACAAUGUGUCGGUGCUGGAUGGGCAGGUCUGGCAUUUGGAGUCCUCUUGCCAAGGCUUCAGGACUGUGAAGCAGAGACUGGAAGAAGAGGUGAAGAGCCCCAGAGAUGGCGGAGGAGAAAACGCACAGCUGUCUCCUGACUUCCCAAUUUGUGUGGCGUCAGGCCCCUGGCCCUGCGGCAUCACGCGGUUGGAACCUGCGGAGUCUCUCUAGUGUUUACACAGGUCAGCUGCUUUGGUUCAGCCGGUACCCCUGGACUGUAACCUUCACCCCUAUCAAUCAAGACGCUGAGUUUGGGUAAAACAACAUUGGCGAAAAACCGCCUCGGCCCAAGUCUGGGCAGGUCCGUACCAAGUUCUUGUUACUAUACACGCUGCUGUGAAAAUUGCUGAGAAAGAGGGCCGGAUUCAUCGCAGUCGCCUCAAACCUGGUAUCGGCAAGUAAUGACCGGUCAGCUGCUGUUCCGCCUUUGUGGCUAGAAAGAAUCGGAGAAUCGUGGACCGUUCAGACUCCUUAAUAGAAAUGAUAUGUGUAUUAAGCUUGCUUUGUAUUAUCUUUCUUGUUAUACUUUGUGUUUGUAUUUCACUGUGGACGCAGGGAAGGUUAUAAGUUAAUAAUGGCAUUUCACUGGGCUAUCCUAACAGGAUUAUUGCUGUCGAUGCAUAAAACACCACAGCUAUUUAUGGGAAAGUGAUACAGAACAGGAAGACCAGUGGAAAGAUAAUACUUCCACUAUAGCUAUAGCACAGGCCCUAAAAUAUGUCUAAUGGUUGGAUAUGUGGUACACAGCCUCCUUCUACUAACUUUCCACCCUAUCCUUUAAUCCCUUGGGAAGGGAUUUUUUCUAAUCCAGAGUGGGUUGAUACGGAUAGAGCUGGCAUAAGUACCUGGCAGGACAAUCCUUAUUUUAAAGAGAAAGUACUUUGAGGUAUCGUGUUAUCUGCCCAGGUGUGUUGGGAAAAUCCUCGUGGAAUAGGAAAAGAGAUUUUUAGGAUGGCAACCAGGUUGUAAACUAACUAUUAAUGCCACACACUUAAUCUGGCCUAACAAUACUGCAGUGGGGGCUAAAGAAGCUGAAAAGAAAGGUUACAUCCCCUGGAAUGUGUCUGCUCCCUGUAAUUCCUUGCAGCGUCCUUAUGUAUGGCAAUGUAUGGAAGGUUCUAUCCGAUGCUCCGCCCCUAAUAAAACUUGGGCUUGGAGUCACGGCUGUUUCACGUCUUGUAUAUACAGCUCCUUUGCAAAGCCAAGUUGUUCGUAUGUUAACUAUACCAUUUACAGAGAUGGUUCAGUACCUUGCCCCAGAGAUCCUCAUACUACCGCAUCAAUCAACUAGCACGUGCAUUAGAACUUAUUGCCAAUAGCACAGCAGAGGGCAUUGAAUUAGUGCAAGACCAGGCUUCUUGCAACCAUGCUAUGGCUUUAGAAAAUCGCUUCGCUUUAGACUAUUUGUUAGCUAGAGAAGGAGGGGUAUGUGCUUUAAUCACAGGAGGACCCUGCUGCACCUAUAUUCCUGACCACUCUGAGAACAUAACUGCUGCAGUAAAAACAAUUCGAGACACAGCACGAGAGGUAAACUCUUUGCGAAGUUGGUCAGUAAUAGAACGGAUUGCCUCAACUUUAGGAAUGUGGGGAAGGUAUAUCUUAGAAUACAUUUUAUGGGGAUUAGGGAUCUUCUUGGUUAUUAUCCUAAUAAUUGCUGUAAUUACAGCCUGUGUAGUUGGAGUUAAGCAAAAAGUAAUUCAUCUCAAUAUUAUGCAAACAUGUGUUGCCCAAAUGGCUAGUUUCGUUCCCCUGGAGGCUUGUCCAAUUAUCCUCAAGGAGUGAGUCACACUUACACACAGGCUAGGUCCAUCACAUGUUUAUUGUUUACAUAAAGAGGUUCAGCUAAGAGGCUAAUGCCAAAGCAGAGCCGAACACCGGUCCGGCGCAGAAUUACAUAUUUAUAGCUUACAUAAACAUAGUCUUGACGUAUUAGGCACUCAUUGGUAGCAUUAUAAUUUCCUAGUUGUUACGUCUUAUUUUGUAGGCUAAACUUAACUUGUUAUUGGUUAGUGUGACUUAUCAGGGUUGGUGCAUGCGCAUUCAAAAAGCAGAACUACGGCAAAAAUCUUCUGUCGCAUGCGCAGAGGAAAAGAGGAACUACGGCAAGGUUUAAUAGUAAUCUUUUAGUAACUCCGGUGUCUGAGUGUAAUUUUAGAACACCAGACACAGAUGAUUUCAUUAUGCCAGGCAAGCAAAAAGUAAAGCAGACCAUAACUCAGUUGGUGGCGUCAUGAUCUUACUCAAGAGGUCAUAAGAUGGUCAUCAGACAUUUCUUUUAUAUAGUUGCUGCUUAAGCAUUAUUACAAAAUCUUGGGGUCUAACCUAUUUUUGACUACACAUGGGAAAUGGCCAGCAGGCCAUAGGCCUUUGGUCGUAAGGUGGGAUUGUUAGAAACUAUUGUUGGAAAAUCAAUGUGACCUUUGUAUGACCUUUGGUCAAUGCUGGCUGAUGCAACCUUGCAGUAAGAUUGCCAUGAUCUGUCAAUAUAGGCGGGCAAACAAGGUGAUUGGGCCCAACCAUGCGGGGUGAGCAAAGCUAAGCCAUCUUGGUGAUUUUCUCUGAGUUUUGCACGUGCGUUAUGAAGGAGCUUAUGUAACCAGAGUUUAUAAAUCUAUGUGUUGAGUUGCAGUCGGGGUCUCUCUGCCCUUACGAGGACAGGGGACCUUCGGCCGAAUAAACUGAAAAGACCACA
This is a long non-coding RNA of Alligator mississippiensis (American alligator), 17389 nucleotides long. RefSeq lists it as uncharacterized. Lineage: Eukaryota; Metazoa; Chordata; Crocodylia; Alligatoridae. The transcript has 17 exons. The record is from RefSeq and is a predicted model, not a curated record.